This 798-nucleotide ribosomal RNA is filed under the name uncultured Glomus. Its description in RNAcentral is "SSU rRNA". It matches the Rfam family "Eukaryotic small subunit ribosomal RNA", at positions 314 to 1114 of the family's 1831-position model. The record is from RNAcentral. Lineage: Eukaryota; Fungi; Glomeromycota; Glomeromycetes; Glomerales; Glomeraceae.
AUCAACUUUCGAUGGUAGGAUAGAGGCCUACCAUGGUGGUAACGGGUAACGGGGUGUUAGGGCACGACACCGGAGAGGGAGCCUGAGAAACGGCUACCACAUCCAAGGAUGGCAGCAGGCGCGCAAAUUACCCAAUCCCGACACGGGGAGGUAGUGACAAUAAAUAACAAUACGGGGUUCUUUCGGAUUUCGUAAUUGGAAUGAGUACAAUUUAAAUCUCUUAACGAGGAACAAUUGGAGGGCAAGUCUGGUGCCAGCAGCCGCGGUAAUUCCAGCUCCAAUAGCGUAUAUUAAAGUUGCUGCAGUUAAAAAGCUCGUAGUUGAAUUUCGGGACCAAUACGUCGGUCGUGCCUCGGUACGUACUGGCAUCGUUGGUUUCUCCCUUCUGACGAACCAUGAUGUCAUUCAUUUGGUGUCGUGGGGAAUCAGGACUGUUACUUUGAAAAAAUUAGAGUGUUUAAAGCAGGCUCACGCUUGAAUACAUUAGCAUGGAAUAAUGAAAUAGGACGUUUGAUUCUAUUUUGUUGGUUUCUAGGAUCGACGUAAUGAUUAGUAGGGAUAGUUGGGGGCAUUAGUAUUCAAUUGUCAGAGGUGAAAUUCUUGGAUUUAUUGAAGACUAACUACUGCGAAAGCAUUUGCCAAGGAUGUUUUCAUUAAUCAAGAACGAAAGUUAGGGGAUCGAAGACGAUCAGAUACCGUCGUAGUCUUAACCAUAAACUAUGCCGACUAGGGAUCGGAUGAUGUUAAUUUUUUAAUGACUCAUUCGGCGCCUUACGGGAAACCAAAGUGUUUGGGUUC